Molecule: long non-coding RNA, 1205 nt
Filed under: Homo sapiens (human)
Lineage: Eukaryota; Metazoa; Chordata; Mammalia; Primates; Hominidae
Description: HSALNT0407138
Source: RNAcentral
GAAAGAAGGUAAUUCCCUCUGCAGCCCCCCGACAAGUGACCUUGCUCUUUUCUCCUUGGCCAGUGGGAAGCAAACUCAGGAGCUCUGGCCUUAGGAGAUGGGAGGAAGACUAAAGCAGCAGUUCUCAAAGUGUGAUCCGGGAGACCCUGCAGAUCCCAAGAUCCUUUCUAGAGUUUCGGUGGGAGAACUAGUUUUAGAAUUAUAGACGUCAUUUGCCUUUUAAACUCACAAUGGAAUUUUCCAGAGGCGACCUGAUGUCUAAUGAUGACACUGCUCUUAUGACCAAAGGAAUGUGAGCUCGUAUAUUCUUUUAGAAUUUCCUAAGUGAAUCCAGGAAAAUAGAGGAUGCUUCAAAGAAGGAAACGCGAGAGUACCCUGCACCCAAACAGCCUCUGGCCUGAGGAACAAGGAACAGACCAAUGUUCUGGCCCUGGUGCAAGUGAAUGUUUGGCAUAGUCUGCUGGCAACAACAGAAGUUAUUACCUGAAAACUCAUUCUGAAGGUGGAGGAUGUUGGGGAAAUCUAAAGAUGAAAGAAUUCAUCACUAAAACUGUACUACGAGAAAUGCUAAAGGAAGUUGUUCAAACUGAUGGAAAAUUAUACCAGAUGGACACUUGAAUUUGCCCAAAGGAAUGAAGAGCACCAGAAAUGGCAAAUGUGUGGGGCUUCAUUUACCAUCAUUAUCCUGGGGCUUUUGGAAUGCCUGAUCCACAGGCCUGGAUUCUCACACAAGAUGGCAUCUGAGGAGACCUGCUUCAUCAUGAAGGAGGUGUGGGAGCAGGUCCUGACCAGUAGGAUUCAUCGUUCAUAUCAUAUACCACAGCAUUCACAAGUAGCCAUCCUAACAGAGCAUCUGAAUGAUCUGCUGAAGGUGUAAUUGAAGUGCCAACUUGGAGACAAGACUCUGCAAGCAUGGGGUACCAUCUUCCAGGAUGAAAUAUAGGCACUGUAUUCAUGUUCUAUUGCUAGGUAACAAAUUAACACAAAUUUAGUGGCAUAAACAACACAUGUUUAUUACCUUACAGUUUCUGUGGGUCAAGAGUCUGGGCAUAGCUUAGCCGAGUCCUCUGUUCAGGGUCUCCAAGGCUGGAAUCGAUGUGUCAGCUGGGGCUGGGGUCUCUCUUCUAAGUUCACUUGGUUGUUGGCAGAAUUCAUUUUCUUGCAGUUGUAUAACUUCUUUUUUCUUCAAGGCCAGCAAGAGAAUU